RNAcentral lists this non-coding RNA (30 nucleotides) under Macaca fascicularis (crab-eating macaque). The record is from RNAcentral. Lineage: Eukaryota; Metazoa; Chordata; Mammalia; Primates; Cercopithecidae. RNAcentral also lists the same sequence under 1 other name.
CAAUCACUUCUCUUCAGCUCAGUUCCAGAC